UACGAAGGGGGCUAGCGUUGCUCGGAAUUACUGGGCGUAAAGCGCACGUAGGCGGAUCUUUAAGUCAGGGGUGAAAUCCUGGAGCUCAACUCCAGAACUGCCUUUGAUACUGAGGGUCUUGAGUUCGGGAGAGGUGAGUGGAACUGCGAGUGUAGAGGUGAAAUUCGUAGAUAUUCGCAAGAACACCCGUGGCGAAGGCGGCUCUCUGGGACGGUACUGACGCUGAGACGCGAAAGCGUGGGGAGCGAACAGG
This 253-nucleotide ribosomal RNA is filed under the name uncultured bacterium. RNAcentral's name for it is "partial 16S ribosomal RNA". It matches the Rfam family "Bacterial small subunit ribosomal RNA", at positions 524 to 776 of the family's 1533-position model. The record is from RNAcentral.